ACGCUGGCGGCGUGCUUAACACAUGCAAGUCGAACGGUGACCCUCGGAGCUUGCUCUGGGGUGAUCAGUGGCGAACGGGUGAGUAACACGUGAGUAACCUGCCCCAGACUCUGGGAUAACACCGGGAAACCGGUGCUAAUACCGGAUAUGACACGAAGAGGCAUCUCUAUCGUGUGGAAAGAACUUCGGUCUAGGAUGGACUCGCGGCCUAUCAGCUUGUUGGUGAGGUAAUGGCUCACCAAGGCGACGACGGGUAGCCGGCCUGAGAGGGCGAUCGGCCACACUGGGACUGAGACACGGCCCAGACUCCUACGGGAGGCAGCAGUGGGGAAUAUUGCACAAUGGGCGCAAGCCUGAUGCAGCGACGCCGCGUGAGGGAUGACGGCCUUCGGGUUGUAAACCUCUUUCAGCAGGGAAGAAGCGAAAGUGACGGUACCUGCAGAAGAAGCACCGGCUAACUACGUGCCAGCAGCCGCGGUAAUACGUAGGGUGCGAGCGUUGUCCGGAAUUAUUGGGCGUAAAGAGCUUGUAGGCGGUUUGUCGCGUCUGCUGUGAAAAUCCGAGGCUCAACCCCGGACUUGCAGUGGGUACGGGCAGACUAGAGUGUGGUAGGGGAGACUGGAAUUCCUGGUGUAGCGGUGAAAUGCGCAGAUAUCAGGAGGAACACCGAUGGCGAAGGCAGGUCUCUGGGCCACUACUGACGCUGAGAAGCGAAAGCAUGGGGAGCGAACAGGAUUAGAUACCCUGGUAGUCCAUGCCGUAAACGUUGGGAACUAGGUGUGGGCCUCAUUCCACGAGGUCCGUGCCGCAGCUAACGCAUUAAGUUCCC
Molecule: ribosomal RNA, 829 nt
Filed under: uncultured bacterium
Lineage: Bacteria
Description: bacterial SSU rRNA
Rfam family: Bacterial small subunit ribosomal RNA
Source: RNAcentral